GCGGUUGUGGCGAAGUGGUUAACGCAUCGUUCCGACACUCGUGGGUUCGAUUCCCAUCAUCCGCC
RNAcentral lists this transfer RNA (65 nucleotides) under Staphylococcus xylosus. RNAcentral describes it as "tRNA-OTHER". It matches the Rfam family "tRNA". From Rfam's summary of the family: Transfer RNA (tRNA) molecules are approximately 80 nucleotides in length. The record is from RNAcentral. Lineage: Bacteria; Bacillati; Bacillota; Bacilli; Caryophanales; Staphylococcaceae.